Molecule: ribosomal RNA, 440 nt
Filed under: uncultured bacterium
Lineage: Bacteria
Description: partial 16S ribosomal RNA
Rfam family: Bacterial small subunit ribosomal RNA
Source: RNAcentral
CCUACGGGUGGCAGCAGUGGGGAAUAUUGCACAAUGGGCGAAAGCCUGAUGCAGCGACGCAGCGUGAAUGAAGACGUCCUUCGGUGUGUUAAGCUCUAUUAAUACGGAAGUAAAUGACCGUACCUGAAUGAGUAUCCCCGUCUAGUUACGUGACAGCAGCCGCGGUAAUACGGAGGGGGCAAGCGUUAUCCGGAUUUACUGGGUGUAAAGGGAGCGUAGACGGCAGUACAAGACUGGAGUGAACGGCGUGGGCUCAACCCCCGGACUGCUGGGGAAACUCGACAGCUGGAGUGCAGGAGAGGUAAGUGGAAUUCCUAGUGUAGCGGUGAAAUGCGUAGAUAUGAGGAAGAACCCCAGUGGCGAAGGCGGCUUACUGGACUGUAACUGACGUUGAGGCUCGAAAGCGCGGGGAGCAAACAGGAUUAGAUACCCGGGUAGUC